Molecule: ribosomal RNA, 937 nt
Filed under: uncultured bacterium
Lineage: Bacteria
Description: bacterial SSU rRNA
Rfam family: Bacterial small subunit ribosomal RNA
Source: RNAcentral
AGGGUUUGAUCAUGGCUCAGAACGAACGCUGGCGGCGUGCUUAACACAUGCAAGUCGCGUGCGCAGUUCCCGUAGCAAUACGGGGAUGGGCGCACGGCGCACGGGUGCGUAACACGUGGGCAAUCUGCCCUCCGAUGGGGAAUAACCCCGCGAAAGCGGGGCUAAUUCCGCAUAACAUUCCUUGGACCUUGGUUUGAGGAUUCAAAGCAGCAAUGCGUCGGAGGAGGAGCCCGCGCCCGAUUAGCUAGUUGGUAGGGUAACGGCCUACCAAGGCAAUGAUCGGUAGCUGGUCUGAGAGGAUGGCCAGCCACACUGGAACUGAGACACGGUCCAGACUCCUACGGGAGGCAGCAGUGGGGAAUCUUGCACAAUGGGCGAAAGCCUGAUGCAGCGACGCCGCGUGGGGGAUGAAGCUUCUCGGAGUGUAAACCCCUUUCGCCUGGGACGAAUGCCCGCAAGGGAGUGACGGUACCAGGAUAAGAAGCCCCGGCUAACUACGUGCCAGCAGCCGCGGUAAGACGUAGGGGGCCAGCGUUGUUCGGAAUUACUGGGUGUAAAGGGUUCGUAGGCGGUGCGGCAAGUUGGGAGUGAAAUCUCUGGGCUCAACCCAGAGGCUGCUUCCAAAACUGCUGUACUUGAGUGUGAGAGAGGCUCGUGGAAUUGCAGGUGUAGCGGUGAAAUGCGUAGAUAUCUGCAGGAACACCCGUGGCGAAAGCGGCGAGCUGGAUCACUACUGACGCUGAGGAACGAAAGCUAGGGGAGCAAACAGGAUUAGAUACCCUGGUAGUCCUAGCCCUAAACGAUCAGGACUUGGGGUGCCGCCCGUUCGGGCGUCGUCCCGGAGCUAACGCGUUAAGUCCUGCACCUGGGGAGUACGGUCGCAGACUGAAACUCAAAGGAAUUGACGGGGGCCCGCACAAGCGGUGAAACAUGGUGG